AUUGAACGCUGGCUGCAGGCCUAACACAUGCAAAUCGACCGAGUGGCGUACGGGUGAGUAAUGUCUGUGAAACUGCCCGAUGGAGGGGGAUAACUACUGGAAACGGUAGCUAAUACCGCAUACCAUCGGAUGUGCCCAGAUGGGAUUAGCUAGUCGGUGGGGUAACGGCUCACCUAGGCGACCAUCACUAGCUGGUCUGAGAGGAUGACCAGCCACACUGGAAUGGAGACACGGCACAGACUCCGACGGGAGGCAGCAGUGGGGAAUAUUGCACAAUGGGCGCAAGCCGGAUGCAGCCAUGCCGCGUGUAUGAAGAAGGCCUUCGGGUUGUAAAGUACUUUCAGUGAGGAGGCGUUACUCGCAGAAGAAGCACCGGCUAACUCCGUGCCAGCAGCCGCGGUAAUAC
This 406-nucleotide ribosomal RNA is filed under the name uncultured bacterium. RNAcentral's name for it is "partial 16S ribosomal RNA". It matches the Rfam family "Bacterial small subunit ribosomal RNA", at positions 30 to 526 of the family's 1533-position model. The record is from RNAcentral.